RNAcentral lists this long non-coding RNA (340 nucleotides) under Zostera marina. RNAcentral's name for it is "long non-coding RNA (ZMAR_LNC002822)". Lineage: Eukaryota; Viridiplantae; Streptophyta; Magnoliopsida; Alismatales; Zosteraceae. The record is from RNAcentral.
AGAAGCACAACACUGAAGAAUUUGAAUUGGCAGUUUCCAAAAUCGUUGAAAAACGAAUGGAAGCGUUCGAAAUAGAAAAUGAAAAACGAUUUAAAAUGAUGGAACAACGGUUAAUUGACAAUAUACAUGUGAAUUUAAUAAAUGUUUUUAAAUUUAUUAAUUUUUGAAUAUCUUCAUUUAUUUUCAGGCUAAUGCUACAAGCAACGACCCGAAUCGUCCAUCAUCGAGUAAUGUUCCUGUUUUUUCUCAGUUGAACCAACUUAUUCCAUUAUCGAGAAAUUAUUGGGAAGAAGAUACUACUUUGAAUUCGACACCUCGACCAAAAGGUAAGACUUUAGAU